AGUGAACGCUGGCGGCGUGCUUAACACAUGCAAGUCGAACGAGAACGGAUUAUAGCUUGCUAUAAUUGUCAGCUAAGUGGCGCACGGGUGAGUAAUGUAUAGGUAAUAUGCCUCUUACUAAGGGAUAACAAAUGGAAACGUUUGCUAAUACCUUAUACUCCUUAUUAACAGAAGUUAAUAAGGGAAAGAUUUAUUGGUAAGAGAUUAGCCUGUAUUGUAUCAGUUAGUUGGUGGGGUAAUGGCUUACCAAGACUAUGACACAUAACUGGUUUGAGAGGAUGAUCAGUCACACUGGAACUGAGGCACGGUCCAGACUCCUACGGGAGGCAGCAGUGGGGAAUAUUGCACAGUGGACGAAAGUCUGAUGCAGCAACGCCGCGUGGAGGAUGACACAUUUCGGUGCGUAAACUCCUUUUAUAUGAGAAGAUAAUGACGGUAUUAUAUGAAUAAGCACCGGCUAACUCCGUGCCAGCAGCCGCCGUAA
RNAcentral lists this ribosomal RNA (484 nucleotides) under uncultured bacterium. Its description in RNAcentral is "partial 16S ribosomal RNA". It matches the Rfam family "Bacterial small subunit ribosomal RNA", at positions 29 to 523 of the family's 1533-position model. The record is from RNAcentral.